RNAcentral lists this ribosomal RNA (254 nucleotides) under uncultured bacterium. RNAcentral's name for it is "partial 16S ribosomal RNA". It matches the Rfam family "Bacterial small subunit ribosomal RNA", at positions 524 to 776 of the family's 1533-position model. The record is from RNAcentral.
CACGUAGGGACCAAGCGUUGUCCGGAUUCAUUGGGCGUAAAGAGCUCGUAGGCGGUUCAGCAAGUCGGCUGUGAAAUUCCGAGGCUCAACCUCGGAACUGCAGUCGAUACUGCUGUGACUCGAGUCCGGUAGAGGAGAAUGGAAUUCCCGGUGUAGCGGUGAAAUGCGCAGAUAUCGGGAGGAACACCAGUAGCGAAGGCGGUUCUCUGGGCCGGUACUGACGCUGAGGAGCGAAAGCGUGGGGAGCAAACAGG